Molecule: ribosomal RNA, 307 nt
Filed under: Cladosporium sp. BAB-2566
Lineage: Eukaryota; Fungi; Ascomycota; Dothideomycetes; Cladosporiales; Cladosporiaceae
Description: eukaryotic LSU rRNA
Rfam family: 5.8S ribosomal RNA (bases 1-99)
Source: RNAcentral
CGAUACUUGGUGUGAAUUGCAGAAUUCAGUGAAUCAUCGAAUCUUUGAACGCACAUUGCGCCCCCUGGUAUUCCGGGGGGCAUGCCUGUUCGAGCGUCAUUUCACCACUCAAGCCUCGCUUGGUAUUGGGCAACGCGGUCCGCCGCGUGCCUCAAAUCGACCGGCUGGGUCUUCUGUCCCCUAAGCGUUGUGGAAACUAUUCGCUAAAGGGUGCUCGGGAGGCUACGCCGUAAAACAACCCCAUUUCUAAGGUUGACCUCGGAUCAGGUAGGGAUACCCGCUGAACUUAAGCAUAUCAAUAAGCGGA